RNAcentral lists this small nuclear RNA (106 nucleotides) under Mustela putorius furo (domestic ferret). Lineage: Eukaryota; Metazoa; Chordata; Mammalia; Carnivora; Mustelidae. The record is from RNAcentral.
GUGCUUGCUUCAGCAACACAUACACUAAAAUCGGAACAAUACAAGAAAAUUAGCAUGGCCUGUAGGCAAGGAUAGCAUGCAAAUUCAGGAAGUGUUCCAUAUUUUU